UGUGACAGUGAUGAGUUGCACUAUUAGGCGGGCUGCUGGUUGCAGUUGCACAGCGGACCCGUCCUGACAACCUGUGUUGACACACCCAUUGUGCACAGGGGCCAUCUGAGUCACA
Molecule: small nucleolar RNA, 115 nt
Organism: Larimichthys crocea (large yellow croaker)
Lineage: Eukaryota; Metazoa; Chordata; Actinopteri; Sciaenidae
Source: Ensembl